CCUCCUGUCUUUCUUUGUCUUUUUUAGACUGAAAGCAUCCCUUAGACCUUGUUUGUCUUAUGGCAUUGACAUUUUUGAAAAGUAUAGGUCAUUUAAUUGUAUAAUAGAAUAUCUCUCAAUUUGGGUUUUUCUGAUGCUUCCUCAUGAAAAUAUUCAGAUUAUGUAUUUUAGGUAGAAAUAUAUAAAGUUCUCCUUACUUUGUAUCAUAUGACCCUGCACACUCUUUCCAGGUCAUAGAUGGUUAUCUGAAGAGCAGCCAGUGUUCUAUCAGGAAGGUGGAAUGAGAGUUCUUUGCUCAAGAGUAAUCUCACUGGAUUAUGACAGGAGGGGCAGAACUCAUUCUGGAAGGGCCGGUGGGAACAACACCAUUUGGAAAGUACACAACACAGGACACACAGCAGAGCCCAACAAAGUCCUGAACUGUUAGCUCUCAGGUCCUGAAGAAACGAGAAGGUUCAUUGGAAUCUGAAUUUCACUGUAGACAAACAGUCCUCUUUGCAUGGCCAAAUGACCAUUAUUUUCCUAAAAUUAUUCUAAGAAUAUCUUGUAACGUAAGUUUGAAUAAACUGACUGACAUGCCA
This is a non-coding RNA of Microcebus murinus (gray mouse lemur), 581 nucleotides long. The record is from RefSeq and is a predicted model, not a curated record. Lineage: Eukaryota; Metazoa; Chordata; Mammalia; Primates; Cheirogaleidae.